RNA transcript from Formica exsecta, 6141 nucleotides. RefSeq lists it as uncharacterized. The transcript has 4 exons. The record is from RefSeq and is a predicted model, not a curated record. Lineage: Eukaryota; Metazoa; Arthropoda; Insecta; Hymenoptera; Formicidae.
AAUGAUCGAUUGCCGACGUUAUAUCGAAUUCACGGCCUGUUCGGUCCAAUUUCCAAACGGGAUUUCACCAACCAUAGGAAUACACGAGACGCUCGACGACGUGCGCAACCGUUCGUAUGAACCGGAUAUUGUUCAUAGCGGGGCAAAACGUGAUGCUGCCCGCGUAUAGAGGGUUUUUUGUGACGCACAAAAAACAAUGACUGCACUCGAAUUAAUUCUGUUAGAAUUGAUACUCGGCCCCGGCACUGGGAUCGCAAUUUGCAUGCGUUCACAACAAUGAAAUACAACGGCGCACGCGGGGUGAGCUGUAAUACUAUCGCGAGGAGGAGGAGGAGGAGGAGGGGAAAAAGGGGGAGAAAAACGGUAGGAGGAGAAAAGCAAAGCCAACAAUCACCCUGAGCAGUGGCUCUCAAAGCUUUUAACGGUUUCGAUGCAACAAGGCAAUUUUUGGGAAGAAUGUUUUUCAAUCGAAUUGAGUGAAUGCAAAAGAGCAUCAAUAUUUUUAAAGUAUAAAAAAAAAAUAUGUGACCCUUCAGAAAACCGAGAUAUUUCUCAAUAACAGAAAUUAAUAGAAUAAUUACUCUCUUAAUGAUAGAUAACAUUUUCAGCGUAUAAAAUUCUAAAUCUUAUCUACAAAUGAAAAUGAGAUGUCAAAGGAUCUUUCAUACUUUAGAUUUUUUCUUUAGAAAAUUAGGAAAUGAUUUGAGAAAACCCACACACCCAAACUGUUUCAAUAAGAAUUUAAGAAAAUAAAAAUAUUCUAUUAUAAAAUGUUUCUAUCAUUCUGAGAAGAAUCUACUAUGCUACCAAAGUUUUGAUCGAAUAUAUACAGAUAAAAGAUAUUUUUUGAUUAAAUAUUAUGAGUAUAAGUUGCUUGAGUCACGAAUAAUUAUGUAGCUCGAAUGCAGCUGCGGAAUUUUCUGAAACGCAGCGAUUAAUUUUUUAUGCUCUCAAUCUGCCAUGUCGGUUGAUAAGAGAGCGUGCGUUUUGCGCAACCUUCGCAUCACGCUCUGCAGAUGUUCGGUCUUGGGUUUGAUUUAAUACGAUCUCUGAACCAGAUUGCUGCGGAUCUACAAUCCAGUGGACGAUGAUGUCAACGAAAGCAUAAGCUCGUUAAUGUGUUUUUGAUUAGAAUCUUCUGCGAAGAGAUAUUUUUUCUUGCCCUCUUGUCUUUGAACUAACAGAUUCUCAGGAAAUUCGCAUUUAGUUAUUAAGUAUUAUACAUCGAUUUUUCAACAAUGAUUUUGCACAAUUAUUUAUAAAAUUUCACAAUAUAAUUUCGCAUUUCUAUUAUAUAAUAUAUAUGCUAGCAUAAUUAUUAAAAAAUUAACAAUUUCUAAUACACGUAUCUAAUACAUAUUUAUAAAUAAUUUUAUGCAAAAUAUUUUUUUAGGAUAUAGGAAAGAUGUUUUAUUGCAUUUGCAUAAGAAACACACCUUCUGUAAUAAUUAUAUUUUUGCAAAUGUCACGAAGCUGCUUGAAAUAUCAGUAGACGAGUCACAGUAAGAUACAUAAUCGCAGAAAGUUAUCUGCGAUUUAUGCUUGAACAAUUUUUUAAUUGUAUUCUUAUCUCGCAACGAGCGAGGCUUAUAAAACGAGACAUAUAUAUAUAUACAUAUAUAUGUACAAAGACAUGCAAUAUUUGAAUCGGAUGAUUUAUAAGAAAAUGUUGAGUAAUUCUUCGGACGAAUCAUUUUAUAAAUUAUAUUGAGUGUGAAACAAAAGAAAAGCCGAAUUACUACAGACUGUAUAAGAUAGCAAUAAUAAUUAUCAAAGGGAUUUUUCCUUGAGUCAUAUCGUUUUCCAGCAAUGUCUAAUAAUUUUUCCUCUAUACUUGAAUAUAAUACCUCGCGGGCAAGCAUUUAAAGCUUCCUUCGUGCAGUUUUCCAUUACACAUGACACACAUGGCAUGUGAACAAAUUGCACGUUUAGAACUUUCCACUCGAUAUUGUGAUUAAUAUUUUCAAAUGAAACGCGUUAUUAUGCUACACGUAUAUUUGAUUCACGAUAGUGUGUGGCUAUCUAAUUGUGCAAUUGUAUAAUUCAUUUCGUCAAGUAUUUUCCUUGUCAAACGUUACUUUUUUUGUGAUUAUCUUCAGAUUUAUAAAUUUCCGAUUCAUCAUUAAUCCAUUAUUUUUUUUCAUAGGCCUGUGACAUUUUUUUAUUAUUAUGCGCAAAAUAAGCAUGAUAAAGCAUAAAUAUUCUACGAACGUAUUGGCGAUUAUAAUAUAGAAAACUGUGCAAAGCGAAAUGUCAUUGUCGGCUAAAUUUAAAUCGCGAAAGUCGGACAUUGCACCCAGCGUAAGUGCAAACGCGAUAAUCCGUCGACUUCGAUUUCGACAGAUAUUUUCGUCCGUGCAAAUGCGGAAUUAGAACACGAUCGCGAAAGUGCCACUUUUACACAUACCCAUUAAACAUCAAAUAAAAGACAAAUGCUUAAAUAUUUAAGAAUUUUGAUUUCAUCUUAUCAUAAUUUUUAUAUGUUAGAGAAUUAAUAUCAUAAUAUUAAUACUACAAAAUCAUCGCAAAAAUAUACUAAGUUUUAAUUAAAUAAAACAAUUUUUAAAUAAAACUAAUUAUAUUAAUUUUUAACAAUUUUUUGUUUUAGAUUCAUAUAAGUUAUACAUCAACUAUAUUUCUUCUCUAAAAUAUGUUUAGAAUCUUUCAAGAUUUUUAUAUACGAUUACUUUAUAAAAUUAAUAUAAAACUCAGCUCUCUUCUUUUUCUCUUAUCGCUUCUCUUUUUUGCCAUCAUCUCUCUUACAUGUCGAAUUCCGCAGAUUUAAAGAAUUAGGAAAAAGCAUAUGUGUUUGAAAAAUGUUUACAGUUUCCUAAUAAUACAGAUUCUAAUGAGCGAUUGCGCGCAUUUCAAAGGGUGGUUUUAGUUGUGGGAUCUGCAUACUAACAAAUGAAUAUGCUUGAACAACGAGCAAACGAGUCUCGCGGAGAGCACGUGGCAGCUCGCAAAAGGCUUACGUCUCCAUGUGUGCGUGUCAUGAGUUCGUCGGUCACACCACCGUCGUGGCCGCAAUUAAGGCGAGCAAUGCCACAUGCAAAUGGUCGCAUUGUCUUGACCCAAAGUGGCGCGAUCUCAGUCGGCUCAUUGUGCUUUCACGGACAACUUGCAUGACAGGGAGAGCAGCACAGCGUCGCAAAAAUCGCAGCUCGCUCAUUUGCAUCGGAUGUACAAUACACGCGCCGAUCGAAAACGCAAACAAUUUUCCAUUAAAUGGAUUUCCAUUCCUUCUAAGAAAAUUGGAUAAAUGCACCGAAAAUAACUCAAGAGUUAAUCGAGAGUACGUGCAAAUAUAAAUCGAGCUCAAGACGAUCGGAAAAAUGUUCUAAAUACGACUAUUGACUCAAUUUACGGUAUUCCAAGAGUUAAUGAAUCUAUUGUAUUUAAUGGAUAUAUAAAUUAAGAGUACUAGUUUUUGGAAUUAUAUAAUGAUUUGCAUUUAUCGGAUUAAAAAAAAUAAAAGAAAAUUUUUUUAUUUUGGUUUUCUAAAUUAGCAAUGUUGAAAUGUUUUUGCUUAGCUUUUUAUAUUAAUUGCAAACUUAUUUUUUAUUAUAAAAUUUAAAAAUUGGAUAAUAUCGAUUAUGAAAUGUGUAAAUCUAGCAAUAUGAUAAAAUAUAAUAAUGAUAUAUAAUGACAUAAAUAAGAUGUUAAUCACAAACAUUUUAUAAAAAAGACAAAAUUUUAAAUAUGUAGUUUCGAAAUGUUUUCUAUCAUUAUAUGAAUAUGAUUAUAUAAUGUACUCAAGAGCAAAUCUAAUAAUUAUUUUCAAUAAAUAAAAAAUAUGCUGAAUUAGCGUGUUCAAAUUCUGUAUAGUUAUGUCUAUUUAUCUAUUCUUCAACAACCUCAUUAUCUUUUGGUAUAUUUGCAAAAACAGAUUGUGCUCGAUACAUCAACAAAAUAGCAUCCGUAAUGACACGUUAUCUCUGUUCUAUUCUUAUAUUCUUCAAUCCGAUAUGCAAUCACUCGCGAUGCAAUGCAAUGAGUGCGCAUAUAGCGAAGAUUACGCAAGCAACCGAAGUAAAUCUCCAAGAUUCGAUGCAAAAGUCACGUUUUCAUGACGUUUCCCCGCCCCGCAGCUCAGACACUUGUGCGCGAGUAAUUAAUUAAUACGCGUUACGCAACGCGUGGGCGAUGCCUACGCUCGUUUCCGUUGAAUUUUGAUCGUCUUUUAAUCGCAUGCGCAAAAAUUCACCCGCGACGCGCAAUCAACGACAUAUCUCGACAUGAGUACGAGAUACCGUCCGCGCGUUCGCUCGUUAUCGUGGCCACGUGUCGAUCCUGAUGCAUUGUUCUUGCACAAGGUGGAUUAGUCUCACGGCACCCGGGAAUGGCAGCGUUAAUUAAAACGAUACCUCCGCAUCACGUCGACGGGAAUUCGAACCUCGCACAUUUCCACGAAUCAACACUUAACCAGAAGAGCGUGGAGAUCGCGAGCCGCCGAAGAACGGCAUAAAGAAGGUCGGCUUCAUCGGAAGCGGUCCGCAAGAAGGAACGUUACGGUAUUCCGCGACCAGAUCUCGAAGAAAAGGGAACCUAUUGGGCCAGCCAGCCGUCUUGAAUGCUCGUUUUGGUCAACGGAGGUUCAUUCUCAUGCAACUUUAACCACGGGACUUACUUGGAAGCAUGGUACACGCGUCCGGUACCUGCGCGUACCUGCCACCGAAUACCGGUCAAACGACAUCGGCAGUGGGAGAAAAACAAACUCCCCGAGUCAGAUGAUCAAUUGCCGUGGCGUCAAUCGCCUGAGCCAUCGAUCACCCGUGACCUCGCGUCAUCCACGUUGCUGUCGGAGAGAUCUGCGCACUCACUUCCGGUACCGGUAUCGCUGGCGUACGGAUCUCCUCCGAGCGGGAGACGUGUCGCCUUGGAAGCGAUGCAUCGCGCCGAGGAGAAAACGAUCGCGCGCCAGCUGGCUCUUGGAUCGGAUAAGAGAACGGAACCUCCUCCGUCUAGCCGCCUAAAACGGGGCGGAUCUUCUUCGAAGCGACAUGCACGGUGCUACUUUUAAACGAUUUCCGCGGGAGACAGCGUUGAUGUCAUGUGAGACUGAAUGAGGGAGGAGGGAGAUAAUUUGCACGCCCGCGCACGUGAUUCGCAAGAAUGGAUGUCCGCGCUCGAUUAACUUGACACGGGUGUUGCGAUAUCGCUAUUAAUUUGCAAUGAAAUAACUCCGUGCGGCGCUUGUUCGCCGGGAAUAACUAACGCUCGCUCUUUCAGCGCUGGAAAUAGAAAGCGUUCCAGAGCUGCUAAUUGCGUGUUACGCAAUUCGAUUUAGAAGCACCGUGAAUUCUAGCAGAAACGCAUAAUCGGUAGAGAUAGCCAUCGGAUAGUAGGAUUAAAAAAAUAGCUUCCUCGACAGGAAGUUCGAUCAAUCAGCCAACGUCGGCGUGCACCGCGCGUUACUAGGAUCCCGUGAUACGAAACAGGGUUUGAUAUAGUGGAAGGAAGGUGGUGCAAUGUCUUGCAGCUGACCUACUUUGCCGCAGCGUGCUGUGUGGUAUAUAUCGGUGAAGAAACGACGGAAUGCUACCAAUGCUACACAGGGACUUUCACUCGGAAGGCUCGCUCGUUCCUGGAACACAACCGGGACCGCUAUGGCGAUCGAUUGUUUUCGAAAGGUCGCCGUCCGGUCCUCCAUUAGCGAGUUUCCAUCAGGUUCCUCUCUUUCGUAAUAACGAAAAAGGUCAUGAUGGUACGCCGCCUUUCGUGAUUUCGGACACGAUAUGAUGAGCAUAAAGUCAUACGCAAGCGCGCUAUACCGAGCGAUUUGAUUAAACGAUUUAAAUUUAAUCGAAUGUUUUUGUAUCAAGGGAAAAUUGGAAAAACAUUUAAUAUUCUUCCGUAUUAUAAAAAUUUAUCAUUUAUGUAACACGUCUUCAAUAAAAAAUUCUUUUUUACUUCAUCUGAGUUUGAAUAUCAGAAAAUAUUUUGCUUAUAGUAUAAUAAAAAAUUAUAAUUACUAUUAUUAUUAAAAAAAUUGUAAUUACUUCUUUAUCCAACAAAAUUUUAAAAAUACAUUCUCAAUUUAAUAAUCAACAUAUUUAUUAAGUUGCUCUUCUUUUGCUUUUUGGUUUUGAUUAAAGUAAGUUUUGUAUUACUUAUUGUUAGUAUCAAAGAUUAUGUUUU